RNAcentral lists this ribosomal RNA (259 nucleotides) under uncultured prokaryote. RNAcentral's name for it is "partial 16S ribosomal RNA". It matches the Rfam family "Bacterial small subunit ribosomal RNA", at positions 524 to 782 of the family's 1533-position model. The record is from RNAcentral.
UACGAAGGGGCUAGCGUUGUCCGGAAUUACUGGGCGUAAAGAGCUCGUAGGUGGUUUGUCGCGUCGUCUGUGAAAUUCAGGGGCUUAACCUCGGGCGUGCAGGCGAUACGGGCAAUACUUGAGUGCUGUAGGGGAGACUGGAAUUCCUGGUGUAGCGGUGAAAUGCGCAGAUAUCAGGAGGAACACCGAUGGCGAAGGCAGGUCUCUGGGCAGUAACUGACGCUGAGGAGCGAAAGCAUGGGUAGCGAACAGGAUUAGA